Molecule: ribosomal RNA, 497 nt
Filed under: uncultured bacterium
Lineage: Bacteria
Description: partial 16S ribosomal RNA
Rfam family: Bacterial small subunit ribosomal RNA
Source: RNAcentral
GAUGAACGCUGGCGGCGUGCCUAAUACAUGCAAGUCGAGCGAACAGACGAGGAGCUUGCUCCUUUGACGUUAGCGGCGGACGGGUGAGUAACACGUAGGUAACCUACCUAUAAGACUGGGAUAACUUCGGGAAACCGGAGCUAAUACCGGAUAAUAUUUCGAACCGCAUGGUUCGAUAGUGAAAGAUGGCUUUGCUAUCACUUAUAGAUGGACCUGCGCCGUAUUCGCUAGUUGGUAAGGUAACGGCUUACCAAGGCAACGAUACGUAGCCGACCUGAGAGGGUGAUCGGCCACACUGGAACUGAGACACGGUCCAGACUCCUACGGGAGGCAGCAGUAGGGAAUCUUCCGCAAAGGGCGAAAGCCUGACGGAGCAACGCCGCGUGAGUGAUGAAGGUCUUCGGAUCGUAAAACUCUGUUAUUAGGGAAGAACAAACGUGUAAGUAACUGUGCACGUCUUGACGGUACCUAAUCAGAAAGCCACGGCUAACUACGUG